RNAcentral lists this ribosomal RNA (1047 nucleotides) under uncultured Leccinum. RNAcentral describes it as "eukaryotic LSU rRNA". Lineage: Eukaryota; Fungi; Basidiomycota; Agaricomycetes; Boletales; Boletaceae. The record is from RNAcentral.
CUACACUUUUAAACACACUUGUGAACCCAUUGUAGAUCGAGUCCAUUGAAAAGUAGUAUCAAGCUACCUAAUAGAGGGCUAAUUGGCUUAUUGAAAAGUACCGUUGCUUAUUGAAAAGUAGUGUGAACUACCUAAUAGAAAGCUUAGUACCUAAUAGAGGGCUGGUUGGCUUAUCGAAAAGUGGCAAGAUGUCGAACUACCUAAUAGAGGGCUAAUUGGCUUAUUGAAAAGUACUUCUUAUUGAAAAGUAGUGUGAACUACCUAAUAGAAAGCUUAGUACCUAAUAGAGGGCUAGUUGGCUUAUCGAAAAGUGGUAAGAAACUACCUAAUAGAGGGCUUAGUUGGCUCAUUGAAACGUAGUUAAGUUGGCUUAUCGAAAAGUGGUAAAUAGAGGGCUARUUGGCUUAUUGAAAAGUACGGCUUAUUGAAAAAGUAGUGUGAACUACAACUUAACUACCUAAUAGAGGGUCGUAGAAGAUCUAUGUUUAAUCUACACAACAUCGUAUGUCCAGAAAUUAUAAAUAAAUUACAACUUUCAGCAAUGGAUCUCUUUGGUUCUCGCAUCGAUGAAGAACGCAGCGAAUCGCGAUAAGUAAUGUGAAUUGCAGAUUUUCAGUGAAUCAUCGAAUCUUUGAACGCACCUUNCGCCCCUUGGUAUUCCGAGGGGCAUGCCUGUUUGAGUGUCAUUUUAUCAUCAACUCAUUAGUCUUUCAUUAGGCUAUUGGGCUUGGAUUUGGGAAUUGCUGGCUUGAUCUUUUACCCAUUGAACAGUAUCUAAUACUUAAUAGAGGGUAAAGUGUAGUCGGCUGUCCUUAAAAGCAUUAGCGAGUGUUAGUCUACAUGGCACGGCCUCUUGACGUGAUAAUGAUCGUCGUGGGCUGGAAGUGUAGUGUCUGGCUUCUAAUCCGAUUGUGUGCAUACGGCCCUUAAAGCUGGAAGCGCAAUCAAAACCGACUACGUGCAUACGGCCCAUAAAGCUGGAAGCGUAAUCAAAAUGACCUUUGACCUCAAAUCAGGUAGGACUACCCGCUGAACUUAAGCAUAUCA